AUUAUGGUUGUGCACUUGUAUACAUUUUUAAAAACAAGAGAUCAUGGCUAAAGAAAGCUUUGGAAUUUUUUGCUAUACUUUGAUGUUUCUGUAUUUGGAAUACUUCUGAAAUGCAAAAUCCCUUAAUAAAAAAAAAUCCUGAGAGCAGAAAACUUAUUUAACAGAAUUUCCUGACUUUGCAUGUUUACAUUUUCUGUGAAACUUCCAAAAGCAAUGUUAAAUCUGCACCCCAUCUUUCCGCCAAUAUCUACACCUGUCAUUGUAGAGCAACCCAAACCCCACAUCCUCCACUGGUCAGGGACUUCUUGUGUCCUUCACUAACCUCCCAUAAGUUCCUUCUCAUGAUAUAGGUUAGAAAUCCCCACCAUGUAUCCCAUCCACUAUGAUAUGGGCUACCAGAGUGGGGCAGAGUUAUAGCAUUAUAUAAUGGAAGAUAUAUUGCAAUGGAUGAGGGGGAGAGUUUGGGUCAGUGUUGGAAACAAAUGUUUCAUUACAAUUUCAUAUUAAAUGCUCAAACUUAAGUCUCUGUUUACAAAGCAUUUUGCUCUUGGAUCUUUUUUAAAAGAAAAAGGUUCUUUAUAUUUUUAACACAGUAGAUUAAGAACACUGGCACCUGUUACUAAUGACCACCAUUAGGACUCCAUAUUUUAUUCAAUAGUUUACAAUAGGUAGCUUCAUAAUAUAGUGAUGCCCAAACAACUUAUUUGUUUUAAAGUGUAAAACAAAAAGAUAAAUAUUAAGGUAGAGAAGAGAAACAUUAUUUUAGUCUGUAUGGUUUGAGUAUUAUAUGAAACAGAAAAUGUGUAUCACUGUAUUAGAGGCAAUUCUGUAAGUUGCGUAAAACCAAAUGGUCAAACCAUGAUGCAUUUUGUGUUUUAUUAAACUAAAACACAGAAUUCUGCCAUAGAAAUCGUGCCCUUUUAAAGUCCAGUGCAUUUUAUUUUAUGUAAUAAGUUUAAAAAAUAUCUUCGCUUCAAAAUUAUUGCUCCUGUUUGCAACUUGUUUGGUGUUCAAUUAAGAUUGUUGCCAUCACAGUUUGUAAUUUAGCAGCAUUCGAGUAGAAAUGACUGAGGUUGUUUUGCCUGGGAAUAUCCAAAUUAUUCCAAUGUGGUGUUCGCUUGCAUGUAGGUUUGAUCUGGAUCUCUGGAAUGGGUAGCCUCGCUAAAGAUUUUUGUUCUCAUCUUUGUUUUCCGGAGACAUGCAACUCCCAAACAGCUUGGCCAAUUUGCUUUAGAUUCAAUUCAGAAAUAGGGCUCUGGAUUUGUGUGAAAGUUAAUGGUGGUUUUCCUCAUGGUCCUAAUUGAAUUAUUUGUUAGUUUUCCAUGGGCUGCUGAAAUUAAUUGUGGCUAAUGAAAUUCUUUUCUCACACCUUCCUGUCAAGUUGACCUGAGGUGAUUGGUGGCAUUUUAAGUGAUAUCCAUAAAUUGAUUAACCCUUAGAAUAAGCACAGUGCCAGAAAUGUAGGCACAUGGAGGAUUUUAACAGUGAAAAUGUAACCACAGGAUUUUAGAUGCCUCCAGGAUUAGGCGGCAGCCAAGCAGGGGUUUUGAGGAUCUCAGUGAUGCCUGAAUAUUGGACGUAGGUAGCAGUUAGGCACCUAAAUCCUUUUGUUGAUCUGGGCUUCAGUCUUUUUACCCCCAACCUCCACAAAACUCUCCCCCAAAAAGUUCUAGAGGUAGAGGCUUAUUGGCUCUUGAAUUUAAUACAGUGUGUUGUAGCUAUUUGUAGUGGAAUCAGUUUAUAUUAUUUUAAGUUUAUAUUAUUUUACAUCUUCAGAAUGGUCAAGUGUUUGACAGACUGAUGCAACAUUUAGCAGCUGUUACAGUCAUUUAAUUUGAGUAUAGCGGUGAUGCAGAUUAUUGGAGGUAUCAGUUGUGUCUAUGCACCAUAUAUCUACAUAUUAAUGUGCUCUUUUUAAACAGAUAAUUGCAAAGGAUUUUAAGCAAAAAAAAAAAAAAAGUAAUCCCUCAUCUUUGACUUCUUUUUGUAUCUUCACUGAAGUUAAUGACACUGCACUUAAACUACAUUCAAGUACCAUCACUUUUCUAAUAAGCAGUUGGGUAUUGAGCCACUUGAUAGUACCUAAUCCUAACUUAAACCCAAGUAAUGUUGCAUUCUGUAACUGACUUGCAUCUUCCCUUUUCAGUCUCUUCUUUAUAAGAAAUCAAUUAUGCUAUUUAAAAAUUGAAAUCCUCCAGCUAUUUCACACUCUUAACUGAAAUGAAAGGCAAGCUCCAUGCAUUACUUUUUAAUAAAAUAUUGGGGAAAUGUCCACUGAUGUUUUACAAAGAUGUGAUAUAUUUAAUCCAAAACUCUAAUAUACUACUACAUCUGUGGAAAUGAAAGCACCUUGAAUGCUUUAAUAACUAAUUGGAAGCCUAAUAGGAUAUAAGACAUUUCUAAGACUAUUAUGAAUAAUAUUUUUGAAGUCAUUGGGUUUUUAUUGAAUAAUAAUUGUAAGUCAUUGGGGUUUUUUUUGUAUUGAUAGUCAUUUGGAUUUAAACUAGAAAUGAAAUGCAAAAUAAAAUACUGAAAUAUUUCUCAUAGGCUCUGAGGGCCUUAUUUAGUAUGCUGAUCAUGUUGCUUCCCCCUUUUCCGCCCCCACCCCACGUUGAAGUACUCCCAGUUGACAGUUCUUACUUUGUAAAUUCCAGCAGUACAUUAGUAUUAAUAAAUUGCAAGGACCUGUUCCCUGCAGUAGUUCCAUCUUAAGGGGGUUGGCUUGUGCAACUUGGAGUAAUGAUAGUGUUUCAAUACCACUCCAAUAGGUAAUUUCUUGGAGUAGUGGCUAAGGGCACCCAAGAGUGUCCUUUUCAAUAACUUUGCACAGUUAAGCUGGUGCCUGUCACUAGGCAGGGCUUCUUGUAGAAAUACAGUAGUAUCACAGCCCAUUACAUGUCUAGUAGCUGUAGAGCUAAGCAUCCAGAUAUACAGACCUGUAUGGGGCAAAGAGAAAUAAUUAGGGAGGAGAAGAAUAUCAUGAGUCUUUAGGGUACAAUGGAUUUUACCUUACAUUAGUGUUUUUGUUCGAAGCCUCAUUUCACAAGCUGUAUGAAGCUUUGGGUUUGGAUGCGAGAGAGAUUUUCCAAUGUACGGUGUGUAAUUUUUGUGUUUAGUUUUCAGAACUUUACACAUUGGGGAGGAUGUGGGGAGACAUGCAAAGAAAUCUUCUAGUAUGGGUCUUGCUAUUAAAAUUAAUCAUCAAAGUACCAUGGGCAUUUAUUGGAUUUGGAACCUAAAGAUGAGAUAAUAGACUUAUUUGAUACAAAAUUCCUUCUCCCUUUGCUUACCCAUACAUAGAGGAACAUGUUCACCAGCAGAACAAAGAGCAGAAAGCCGUCCAAAAUCCUUGGGUGUUGGGACCUUUACAAUGUGAUCUACAAUUAUUUGUAUUUAUUUAUUUCUAUUCAUAACACUACUAAUAAGCACCCAUCAGUUGGAUCCCGUCACAUUAUCACAUUCAUAUUGAAUGCAUUAUAUGCCUUCCACCUCUAAUACUAAUGUCCCAUAAUUAUUAUAAUGAAUAAAAGACUUUUAAUUUAUCCCUCCACCCACAUCAGUGCUAGGAGAAAAAGGUGGUCUUUGCAGUGUGUCUGGAAUGUUAAAUGCAAGAUUUAACCCUGAUAUUAUGGAAAUUUGCAAAAACCAGCUCUGUAAAAUAGGCCGCAACAUUAGGAAAAGCCCAUAUCGUUGCUUUAUUUUAGAAACCAUUUUGCACAAAAUGUACUGUGGCCAAGCAGGGAGAAGUCUGACAUUGUAAAGCAUCAUAAUAUAGUUUUGAUCCACUCAAUUAAAGCAAAUGAACUACUGCUGUUCAGUAAUAAUGUAGGAAAUGUAAAUAGUAUCUCCUGUUGAUUACAUUAAACU
Long non-coding RNA from Dermochelys coriacea (leatherback sea turtle), 3867 nucleotides. RefSeq lists it as uncharacterized. The record is from RefSeq and is a predicted model, not a curated record. The transcript has 2 exons. Lineage: Eukaryota; Metazoa; Chordata; Testudines; Dermochelyidae.